Molecule: small nucleolar RNA, 77 nt
Organism: Cotesia glomerata
Lineage: Eukaryota; Metazoa; Arthropoda; Insecta; Hymenoptera; Braconidae
Product: small nucleolar RNA U43
Exons: 1
Source: RefSeq, a predicted model, not a curated record
AUGAUGAUUUAGAUUCUAAAAGUUUAUGGUUUAAACUGAACAACCUUGAAGAUAUUAUUCUAGGGCGGUCUGAUAAA